RNAcentral lists this ribosomal RNA (484 nucleotides) under uncultured bacterium. RNAcentral describes it as "partial 16S ribosomal RNA". It matches the Rfam family "Bacterial small subunit ribosomal RNA", at positions 29 to 507 of the family's 1533-position model. The record is from RNAcentral.
AUUGAACGCUGGCGGCAUGCUUUACACAUGCAAGUCGAACGGCAGCGCGGGCUUCGGCCUGGCGGCGAGUGGCGAACGGGUGAGUAAUGCAUCGGAACGUGCCCAGUAGUGGGGGAUAGCCCGGCGAAAGCCGGAUUAAUACCGCAUACGACCUGAGGGUGAAAGCGGGGGACCGAAAGGCCUCGCGCUAUUGGAGCGGCCGAUGUCGGAUUAGCUAGUUGGUGGGGUAAAGGCUUACCAAGGCGACGAUCCGUAGCUGGUCUGAGAGGACGACCAGCCACACUGGGACUGAGACACGGCCCAGACUCCUACGGGAGGCAGCAGUGGGGAAUUUUGGACAAUGGGGGCAACCCUGAUCCAGCCAUACCGCGUGCGGGAAGAAGGCCUUCGGGUUGUAAACCGCUUUUGUUCGGGAAGAAAUCCUCUGGGCUAAUACCCCGGGGGGAUGACGGUACCGGAAGAAUAAGCACCGGCUAACUACGUG